Balaenoptera ricei (Rice's whale) is the source of this 603-nucleotide long non-coding RNA. RefSeq lists it as uncharacterized. NCBI's taxonomy places the organism in Eukaryota, Metazoa, Chordata, Mammalia, Artiodactyla, Balaenopteridae. The transcript is spliced from 2 exons. The record is from RefSeq and is a predicted model, not a curated record.
GUGCCGAGAGGGCGGGCCUGGGCGGGGCGUCCGGGCGACCGGGCCGGGGCAACACACCCCUUUGCUAUGUAGAGUCGGUUCUGCAUUUUCUCUUUGCUUAGUAAAAAGCUCAUACCCUUUUGCCUCAGCUGACGGCACAAGGUUUCAUUUUCCCGAGGGCGGUGCGGCGCGGGAAAAGAGGCCACGGCCCGCAAAGCCUGAGCAUCGUGGGAGGAUCAGGUGGGCGGAACUGAAGCGACCCUGUCGGGUUUGCGCCCGGCGCGCUGCGUCGGGAGCUGCACACCAGGCCGGACCCGCUCGGGAGCCGAGCACCUUCGGGUUAAAGCCGGCUCGGAGAGGGGUCUUUGGCGCAGGACUCCGGCACGGUGCACCUGCUCGGUUUUUCCAGAUUACGAAGAAGCGGAGGGAGGCGGUGGUGUUUUGUUGUUUUGUCUGGGGUGGAGGGAUGGAGUUUGUACAGCUGCAGUAGACUUAGCCAAAGCUGCCGGAGCAAAAUCUGAAUCUGACAAUAGAGAUGAUGUCCCCCUCCUCCCUUCCCUGAUGGUAAUUUAGAUCUGGAGUUUUGUGUUAAGAAAUAAAUGGGGCUCGCAUCCCUUCUUCCUA